Molecule: ribosomal RNA, 253 nt
Filed under: uncultured bacterium
Lineage: Bacteria
Description: partial 16S ribosomal RNA
Rfam family: Bacterial small subunit ribosomal RNA
Source: RNAcentral
UACGUAGGGUGCGAGCGUUAAUCGGAAUUACUGAGCGUAAAGUGUGCGCAGGCGGCGUUGCAAGUCGAGUGUGAAAUCCCCGAGCUUAACUUGGGAAUUGCGCUCGAAACUACGUGGCUGGAGUGUGGCAGAGGAAGGUGGAAUUCCAGGUGUAGCGGUGAAAUGCGUAGAGAUCUGGAGGAACACCGAUGGCGAAGGCACCCUUCUGGGCCAACACUGACGCUCAUGCACGAAAGCGUGGGGAGCAAACAGG